Molecule: RNA transcript, 1119 nt
Organism: Rosa rugosa (rugosa rose)
Lineage: Eukaryota; Viridiplantae; Streptophyta; Magnoliopsida; Rosales; Rosaceae
Gene name: protein HIRA-like
Exons: 3
Source: RefSeq, a predicted model, not a curated record
ACUCAAAUGUGUGUUCAUAUUUGGGGCUUACAAAGCGGAAUUGCUGUGUUGGGUUGUGGAAUUAAGUAGCAGAGAUGAUUGCAGAAAAGCCCAGUUGGAUUAGGCACGAGGGUUUGCAAAUUUUCUCCAUUGAUGUUCAGCCUGGUGGACUCAGGGUUGCCACUGGUGGGGGUGACCAUAAGGUGCGGGUAUGGAACAUGAAAUCCCUGGGCAGGGAUUUCUCAAAUGAAGAAUCAGCUCAGAGGCUACUUGCAACCCUCCGUGAUCACUUUGGUUCUGUGAAUUGUGUUAGGUGGGCUAAGCAUGGUCGGUAUCUUGCAUCAGGAUCUGAUGAUCAAGUAAUUCUAAUUCAUGAAAGGAAGCCAGGUUCAGGAACCACUGAGUUUGGCAGUGGAGAGCCCCCUGAUGUUGAGAAUUGGAAAGUUGCAAUGACUUUGAGAGGGCAUACUGCAGAUGUGGUAAUGAUAUUUCUUGCAUUGUUUGGAUUUUUGGUGCACCCGAAAUAAAUUCUUUUGCUCUCUAGUUGUUGCGUAUGUUUCUCCUCCCAAAUUUGAUUGACCUUUUGUUUUCAAACAAUGUGUGUUCUUGCCUUUGGGAUUUACUUCAAGCUGCAAUAAGUAUGUACUCUGAAGCUACCAGAAGGUCCAUAUGAUCUUUGGCUUUUUCUACAACUGUCCCAACCAUGGGGGAAAAAAAAUGGGGGGAUAUGGGAGAUGUUUUUAUUGAAAUUCCCUUAAAUAAUUGCAAUGUAUUUGUAUAGUUCUUGGUGGUAUUGUCUAACUGCAGUGCUGCUUUUCCGUGGUUAAAGUACGCGGAUCUCAAUUGGUUUCCAGAUGACUCGAUGCUGGCCAGUGGAAGUUUAGAUAACACUAUACACAUCUGGAAUAUGAGCAAUGGUAUUUGCACUGUUGUUCUUAGGGGCCAUUCUAGCUUGGUUAAAGGAGUUACUUGGGAUCCGAUUGGCUCCUUCAUAGCAAGUCAAUCAGAUGAUAAGACUGUGGCUUGGAUGGUCCCCUUGUGGUCAUUUCAUUACUACCACUCAUGGGUUCCAGAAACAAAGGCAUUCAGCACCUGUUCUAGAGAGAGGGGAAUGGUCUGCUACUUUUGACUUCUUAGGAC